UGAAAGCAAAUUUUAGAAAAAAUGGGUGAAAAUUUGGGUCCUAGGGGUAUUUUUGAAAGAAAAUUUGAAAACUGAUGGUCAAAACGUAAUUUGAGAAAACUUGCGCCACGUCAGUAGCCCCGGCUAACCAGGACACACCGCGUGGUAGAGACGCUGACGCGGGAGGCCAUGCAGAAGGGAGCAAUGUGGGCGAUCCGCGUGCGCGCGAUCGAACGGCUGAGAUUCAUUCCCGCGCGCACGGACCGCCCAGAUCAAAAGCGCGUAUGAACGACCCAGAUUGUAUGCGUACGGACGGCCCAGAUUGAAUCGCGCACGGACGAUCCAGAUUACAUCGCGAUGAACGGCCCAGAUUCAUUUCUUAUUUAAUCGCGAUCGGACGAUCCAGAUUAAAUUACGAUGGAUGGCUCAGAUUAAAAGUGAAAGGUUAUAAAUAAUCUCACCCACACCCAAACCCUAACCUUAGCCACCAGAGCCCUCGCCGGAGAAGACAGCCCAGCCACCGGAGGACCGACCACCGCCACCCGCCGCCGCACCGGAGCACCUUUCGGCCGCCAAAUGAGGUAAAAAUUCUCCCCUUAGCUCAAAUUUCAAUUCUAAACCCAUCUGUGGUCAAAUCGGAGCCAAAAUACCGAUCAAUUGGCCGAAAAACACUGUCGAAGCCCAGCGGCGCCGCCACAUGUUUUUUCGAUUUUUGCUCCGAUGAGGCCCUUCCCGAUUCCCGUUCGAUGUAAUUUUUACACCAUUGUGACCACCGUUCCUUCCUCUACAGGUUGACCAGAGCAAAAUACCAAAUCGCGACUCGAGCCGAAGGAGCCGCCACACCGGAGAGCCCUGCCGCUAGUAAGUUUCAGUUUUCGGUAUUUUUUCGGAGCCGCCGUGCUGAAAUUUCUGAAAUUGGUCGAGUAGGCCCUAGGUCUAAUUUUGAGUUAUUUGGGGACAUGUGCAAGUACCGUAAGUGCGUUUCAAUUCCCGAAAAAAAAUUUAGGGAAUCUAGGGACUGCCCGUAGGUGCAAUGAAAAAUUGAUUUUAGACUUCGAAUCAAGUAAGGACCCCUCACCCUAUUUCCUAUCACAGGAUUAAAGUCUAAUAAGUGAUAAAACUAUAUUUUAUGAAUUAUAUAGAUACACGUAAUUUAUUACGGUUGCUAAUGGAGCCCGAACCGGACGUAUUUCCCUAUCAGUUCUUGUUUGGUUUAUUUUACAGUUUUAAAUGCAGUAUGAUAUCUGUUUUAUUCAUUUUAAGGUUUUGAAUGCAUCAAUCACUGCUUACUUUAUUUCGGCCUGAUUUUGUGAAUCUAAUAAUAUGCUUGCCUUAUUGGGUGCUCAUCAAUUAUUUAAGUAUUCAUGUUUAUGUGGGAAACGGAAAACUAAGAAAAAAAUAGAAAAGGUAUGUGAAUUGAUAAAUGGAUAAGUUGACAGCCUCACUAGAUAUCCUGGCAGAUGGUGGACGGACCGGGUCCACAAGAAAUCCUACCGGGAAUGUUAUCUCAUACCGGACGGGGUAUAGAGACUUUAAAUGUUUUGACGCUCAUACCGGACGGGGUAUGGGGACGGCCCUAGAAAUUAAGUUUGUCAAGGGAAUAGUUCACUGGUAGCGGGGACCCCUAUGGAUCCCCACGGAUACUAGUAGGCUGAUAAAAAGGGAUAACUGUUGUUUGAUGAUUGAAAUAUAAAAGUAUGACAUGUACUAUGUUACAGAUUGUGUAUGAACUUAUGAUAUCUAUGAUGUUAUUAUUUUCAUAUGUCGUUUUUUAUAAAUCCCACUGAGGUAAGUGGACGGUAAAUAAUUUGAUUAUUGAUAAAUAAAUUUACUUAAAACUUGUGCUCCAUUGGUUGU
RNAcentral lists this long non-coding RNA (1836 nucleotides) under Carica papaya (papaya). RNAcentral describes it as "long non-coding RNA (CPAP_LNC014389)". The record is from RNAcentral. Lineage: Eukaryota; Viridiplantae; Streptophyta; Magnoliopsida; Brassicales; Caricaceae.